Molecule: ribosomal RNA, 484 nt
Filed under: uncultured bacterium
Lineage: Bacteria
Description: partial 16S ribosomal RNA
Rfam family: Bacterial small subunit ribosomal RNA
Source: RNAcentral
AUUGAACGCUGGCGGCAGGCCUAACACAUGCAAGUCGAGCGGAUGAAGGGAGCUUGCUCCUGGAUUCAGCGGCGGACGGGUGAGUAAUGCCUAGGAAUCUGCCUGGUAGUGGGGGAUAACGUCCGGAAACGGGCGCUAAUACCGCAUACGUCCUGAGGGAGAAAGUGGGGGAUCUUCGGACCUCACGCUAUCAGAUGAGCCUAGGUCGGAUUAGCUAGUUGGUGGGGUAAAGGCCUACCAAGGCGACGAUCCGUAACUGGUCUGAGAGGAUGAUCAGUCACACUGGAACUGAGACACGGUCCAGACUCCUACGGGAGGCAGCAGUGGGGAAUAUUGGGCAAUGGGCGAGAGCCUGAUACAGCCAUGCCGCGUGUGUGAAGAAGGUCUUCGGAUUGUAAAGCACUUUAAGUUGGGAGGAAGGGCAGUAAGUUAAUACCUUGCUGUUUUGACGUUACCAACAGAAUAAGCACCGGCUAACUUCGUG